GCUCCAAUAGCGUAUAUUAAAGUUGUUGCAGUUAAAAAGCUCGUAGUUGGAUUUCUGGCUCUGGGGGCGCGGUCCACCUCGCGGUGAGCACUGUUUUUUGCCUCUGGGCUAUUCUCUUGGUUUGGGGCGGUGGCCUUGAUUGGUUGCUGUUUCUGGGCAAGACCUUUACUUUGAAAAAAUUAGAGUGUUCAAGCAGGCGU
RNAcentral lists this ribosomal RNA (200 nucleotides) under uncultured eukaryote. RNAcentral describes it as "partial 18S ribosomal RNA". It matches the Rfam family "Eukaryotic small subunit ribosomal RNA", at positions 588 to 787 of the family's 1831-position model. The record is from RNAcentral.